Molecule: ribosomal RNA, 468 nt
Filed under: uncultured bacterium
Lineage: Bacteria
Description: partial 16S ribosomal RNA
Rfam family: Bacterial small subunit ribosomal RNA
Source: RNAcentral
GACGAACGCUGGCGGCGUGCUUAACACAUGCAAGUCGAACGGAAAGGCCCUGCUUUUGUGGGGUGCUCGAGUGGCGAACGGGUGAGUAACACGUGAGUAACCUGCCCUUGACUUUGGGAUAACUUCAGGAAACUGGGGCUAAUACCGGAUAGGAGCUCCUGCUGCACGGUGGGGGUUGGAAAGUUUCGGCGGUUGGGGAUGGACUCGCGGCUUAUCAGCUUGUUGGUGGGGUAGUGGCUUACCAAGGCUUUGACGGGUAGCCGGCCUGAGAGGGUGACCGGCCACAUUGGGACUGAGAUACGGCCCAGACUCCUACGGGAGGCAGCAGUGGGGAAUAUUGCACAAUGGGCGGAAGCCUAAUGCAGCAACGCCGCGUGCGGGAUGACGGCCUUCGGGUUGUAAACCGCUUUCGCCUGUGACGAAGCGUGAGUGACGGUAAUGGGUAAAGAAGCACCGGCUAACUACGUG